GGGUCKUUAGCUCAGUUGGUAGAGCAGUUGACUUUUAAUCAAUUGGUCGCAGGUUCGAAUCCUGCACGACCCACCA
Molecule: transfer RNA, 76 nt
Filed under: Escherichia coli
Lineage: Bacteria; Pseudomonadati; Pseudomonadota; Gammaproteobacteria; Enterobacterales; Enterobacteriaceae
Description: tRNA-Lys
Rfam family: tRNA
About the family: Transfer RNA (tRNA) molecules are approximately 80 nucleotides in length. Their secondary structure includes four short double-helical elements and three loops (D, anti-codon, and T loops).
Source: RNAcentral